RNAcentral lists this long non-coding RNA (436 nucleotides) under Mytilus galloprovincialis (Mediterranean mussel). The record is from RNAcentral. Lineage: Eukaryota; Metazoa; Mollusca; Bivalvia; Mytilida; Mytilidae.
UUUAUUAUAAGCAAUCAAAGGAUUUUUUUGUAUUUACAUCAUCACAUGUAUAAACAUCUCAAUGAAAUGAUUUUACCUUUGAGCAUUACUUUUUUUACGAUAUAAAUAUUACUGAGCAUAAAGAUUUUCAAAUAAAACUAAUUGCUAACACAAAACAUGUUUUUGCAUUAAAAUAAACUUGGGAGAUCGCGAUCGAAGGGGACUUUUUAACUCUAAGUCGAAAAGAAAUGACAAUGCAAUGGGGAAAAAAACCCAACUAAAACGGCAAAAAGAUAAUUAAGUAGACAAAACACCACACAGAGACCCAAAGACUGAACAAAAUGAAAUCCUUAAAAACUGCGUAUACUAAUGAAAAAGCUUUUGUUCCAAUAUUGGUAAUGAUAAUCAAAUAUCAUGGAUCUCUGCCACGUUAUGGAUAUAUAUGGAUUUUUUUUUU